Molecule: long non-coding RNA, 262 nt
Filed under: Bos taurus (domestic cattle)
Lineage: Eukaryota; Metazoa; Chordata; Mammalia; Artiodactyla; Bovidae
Description: long non-coding RNA NONBTAT015588
Source: RNAcentral
AGGGAAUGCAGCCACAGGUGCCACUGAGUCCUUAUAUGGUUGAGUAGGAAAUAGCUUAAGAGUGACAAGGCUUUUCCAGGCUGAGGGAAUUGACUGCCUGUUCAGGGUGUGAAUUGGAUGCAUUCAGGGCAACAGCAAGUAGAUCAAUGGCUGAGGCUUGGGUGAGAGUUAAGGCAGGAUAUGGCCGUCCCUGCUAGACCUCCCAGCCCUCUCUGUCUAUUCCUCUGGCACCUAACCCCUUACGCGUUUGAUCCAUGUUAUU